This 441-nucleotide ribosomal RNA is filed under the name uncultured bacterium. Its description in RNAcentral is "partial 16S ribosomal RNA". It matches the Rfam family "Bacterial small subunit ribosomal RNA", at positions 338 to 795 of the family's 1533-position model. The record is from RNAcentral.
CCUACGGGGUGCAGCAGUGGGGAAUAUUGGUCAAUGGUCGUAAGACUGAACCAGCAACGUCGCGUGCAGGAAGACGGCCUUCGGGUUUUAAACUUCUUUUUAUAGGGAAGUGCAGUACACGGUACCUGUCGAUUAAUCCACGGCUAACUACGUGCAAGCCGCCGCGGUAAUACGGAGGAUGCGAGCGUUAUCCGUAGUUAUGGGGUUUAAAGGGUGCGUUGGCUGAUUUUUAAGUCAGCGGUAAAAUCUUGGGGUUCAACCCCGUCCAGCCGUUGAAACUGGGGAUCUAGAGUGUGCGAGAGGUAUGCGGAAUGCGUGGUGGAGCGGUGAAAUGCAUAGAUAUCACGAAGAACCCCGAUUGCGAAGGCAGCAUACCGGUGCACAACUGACGCUGAGGCACGAAAGCGUGGGUAUCGAACAGGAUUAGAUACCCGUGUAGUC